AGAGAGAGAGAGAGAGGGAAAGAAGGUGAGGCUUGGUUUUUUUUUCCCCCCCUCCGCGUGCAUUCGUCAGGCUUGCUUCCUUCUCCGGUGGUCGUUGCCGCUGCCGCUGCCGUUGCCGCCGCCCAGCCGUCUGCGUGUGACCAUCCCGCCAUCGGCGCACGGAGCGGAGAGAGAAACCGCUGUGAGCUCGCUGUUCCCGCCAUUCCCGCCGCGAGGCUCACGCACGCGCUCACGCACGCAGCGUUCAGGUACCGCACGCCCAGGUGUUCCAGCGCCACGAGCUCAGAGAAACUGGAAAGGCAGUUUCAACUGCAGUACGAUUCCAAUUCCCGGCUCGUCCCGAACCAGCGUCUCCAAGGCAACCAUCUGAGAGUACAACCAUGGAUCCGAAGGUAAAUGAAUGUUCCUCCACCUCCCCACAGAAACAGAUCAUGAAAAGCAACAGAUCCAAGUCCACAGAGGAGGUCCAGCAAGCCAAGAAGGCCUUCCACACUCCCCAGAAGUCUCUGCCUGGACGGUCAGACCUGGAGAAGCUAAAGGAGGAGACCCCAGAGGGUUCAGACACACCCUCAGCUUCGUCUGAGGAGCUGAAAUGAUCCUGUGAAGUAACAAGUCAGCCUUCUUGGUUCAAGAGGUCAAUGAUGGUCAUUUGUUAUCCAGUGGCCAUACCCACUAACAUACCCACACACACACACUUGUGCACACAUAUGCAUGUACGCACACACACACACACAUAUGCACACACACACACACACAUACAAAUACAGAAACACACACACACAUAUGCACACACAUAUGCACACACACACACACACACACACAUACAAAUACAGAAACACACACAUGCACACAUGUGCACAUAUACACACACAGAUUUCCUCUCUAUGUCUACUCUGAUGGACAGUACUUGGGACCAAUAGGAGAGAUGACAUAUAAACAGUGAUGUAAGCUCCCAUCUCAUCUCUCUCCCUCACACACCCACACACACAUGCACACACAUAUAAUCGCACACACACACACACACACACACACACACACUUUCCCUCCCUCUACGUCCACUCAGAGAUAAAGCAUUAUAAUGUCAUUCUGCUGUAUUUGUCAACUGAAUGUGAGUUAUCAAUAAAGCUUUGCGCUCGAGUGAUCUUC
This is a long non-coding RNA of Anguilla rostrata (American eel), 1146 nucleotides long. RefSeq lists it as uncharacterized. The record is from RefSeq and is a predicted model, not a curated record. The transcript has 5 exons. NCBI's taxonomy places the organism in Eukaryota, Metazoa, Chordata, Actinopteri, Anguilliformes, Anguillidae.